UUCCUGGUGGCUCAGAUGGUAAAGAAUCUGCCUGCAAUGUGGGAGACCCAGGUUCAAUACUUGGCUUGGAAA
Molecule: transfer RNA, 72 nt
Filed under: Ovis aries (sheep)
Lineage: Eukaryota; Metazoa; Chordata; Mammalia; Artiodactyla; Bovidae
Rfam family: tRNA
About the family: Transfer RNA (tRNA) molecules are approximately 80 nucleotides in length. Their secondary structure includes four short double-helical elements and three loops (D, anti-codon, and T loops).
Source: Rfam by way of RNAcentral